ACUGAGGGGGAGUCAGAAUUCCAGGUGUAGGGGUGAAAUCUGUAGAUAUCUGGAAUAAUACCGGUGGCGAAGGCGGAUUCCUGGCAGAUGAUUGACUCUGAGGUGCGAAAGUGCGGGGAGCAAACAGGAUUAGAUACCCUGGUAGUCCGCACGGUAAACGAUGUGCACUAGGUGUUGGAGCGGAUGCUUCACUGCCGGAGUUAACGUGUUAAGUGCACCGCCUGGGAAGUAUGCCCGCAAGGGUGAAACUC
This 251-nucleotide ribosomal RNA is filed under the name uncultured bacterium. Its description in RNAcentral is "partial 16S ribosomal RNA". It matches the Rfam family "Bacterial small subunit ribosomal RNA", at positions 649 to 902 of the family's 1533-position model. The record is from RNAcentral.